ACCAAAUCUCUUUAGGGACUGUAAACAUACCCGUCCCAGGGAUUGUGAACACACCCGUCCCGCCCAGUUAAGACUAUCCAGCUACCUCCACACUAUCCAGUCCGUGGAGAGCAAGUCUAACCGGCAUGCACGACACUAACGCAAAAGCACAGCGCCCGCCUCCGGAGUGGCACUCGUGGGAGCUACCCAACCGAGUAUGCAGCGUAUCUCUGUCGAGCUCAAUCAGGCUCUCUCAAGCCAAAGUCCAAGUAACCAACACUAACUGGUCUAACAACUCACAGUCACGUGCCCUCGGCACAAUCCGACGCCAAAAAGGCGAUACGGGUCCACCGUCAACCCCGACGGCACCCAACAGUCUGGAACAGCCUGAACACUACUGUAAAAAUACACUCGGC
RNAcentral lists this long non-coding RNA (395 nucleotides) under Ananas comosus (pineapple). RNAcentral describes it as "long non-coding RNA (ACOM_LNC009889)". The record is from RNAcentral. Lineage: Eukaryota; Viridiplantae; Streptophyta; Magnoliopsida; Poales; Bromeliaceae.